RNA transcript from Balaenoptera acutorostrata (minke whale), 9147 nucleotides. It is a transcript of the gene named spermine oxidase, with no coding region annotated. The transcript is spliced from 10 exons. The record is from RefSeq and is a predicted model, not a curated record. NCBI's taxonomy places the organism in Eukaryota, Metazoa, Chordata, Mammalia, Artiodactyla, Balaenopteridae.
CCGGGGACGCUAGGCGGAGCGGGGCCCCACACAGGCCGCGGCGGCUGGCUCGGGCCCCUACGGUCCCGGCGGCGGCUGGAGGAGGAAGCCAGGCGGCUGAAGAGAAGGGGAGGCGGAGGAGGCCGAGGUGGAGAGCCGCUCGUCGCAAACUCACUUCCCCGGCUCAGCAGGGAAAGGUUCCUAGGAGGCGAGUGUGGACGGUAUGCAAAGUUGUGAAUCCAGUGGUGACAGUGCGGAUGACCCUCUCAGUCGUGGCCUGCGGAGAAGGGGACAGCCUCGUGUGGUGGUGAUCGGCGCCGGCUUGGCUGGCCUGGCUGCUGCCAAAGCACUUCUGGAGCAGGGCUUUACGGAUGUCACUGUGCUUGAGGCUUCCAGCCGCAUUGGAGGCCGCGUACAGAGCGUGAAACUUGGACACGCCACCUUUGAGCUGGGAGCCACGUGGAUCCAUGGCUCCCACGGGAAUCCCAUCUAUCAUCUAGCAGAAGCCAAUGGCCUUCUGGAAGAGACAACUGAUGGAGAGCGCAGUGUGGGCCGCAUCAGCCUCUACUCCAAGAAUGGCGUGGCCUGCUACCUCACCAACCGUGGCUGCAGGAUCCCCAAGGAUGUGGUUGAGGAAUUCAGUGAUUUAUACAACGAGGUCUAUAACUUGACCCAAGAGUUCUUCCGGCACGGUAAACCAGUCAAUGCUGAGAGUCAGAACAGCGUGGGGGUGUUCACCCGAGAGGAGGUGCGCAACCGCAUUAGGGGCGACCCUGAUGAUCCAGAGGCCACCAAGCGCCUGAAGCUCGCCAUGAUCCAGCAGUACCUGAAGGUGGAGAGCUGUGAGAGUAGCUCGCACAGCAUGGACGAGGUGUCCCUGAGCGCCUUUGGGGAGUGGACUGAGAUUCCCGGUGCCCACCACAUCAUCCCCUCGGGCUUCAUGCGGGUUGUGGAGCUGCUGGCUGAGGGCAUCCCGGCCCACAUCAUCCAGCUGGGGAAACCUGUCCGUUGUGUUCACUGGGACCAGGCCUCUUCCCGCCCUCGGAGCCCUGAGAUUGAGCCCCGGGGUGAGGGUAACCAUAAUCAUGACACUGGGGAGGGCAGCCAGGGUGGAGAGGAGCCCCAGGGGGAGAGGCAGGAUGAGGAUGAGCAGUGGCCGGUGGUGGUGGAGUGCGAGGACUGUGAGGUGAUCCCAGCGGACCACGUGAUCGUGACCGUGUCGCUGGGCGUGCUCAAGACGCAGCAUGCCAGCUUCUUCCGGCCAGGCCUGCCCGCUGAGAAGGUGGCUGCCAUCCACCGACUGGGCAUCGGCACCACCGACAAGAUCUUUCUAGAAUUCGAGGAGCCCUUCUGGGGCCCCGAGUGCAACAGCCUACAGUUUGUGUGGGAGGACGAGGCGGAGAGCCACACGCUUACUUACCCACCCGAGCUCUGGUACCGCAAGAUCUGUGGCUUCGAUGUCCUCUACCCGCCUGAGCGCUACGGCCACGUGCUGAGUGGCUGGAUCUGUGGGGAGGAGGCCCUUGUCAUGGAGAAGUGGGAUGACGAGGCAGUGGCCGAGAUCUGCACAGAGAUGCUGCGGCAGUUCACAGGGAACCCCAACAUUCCAAAGCCUCGGCGAAUUCUGCGCUCGGCCUGGGGCAGCAACCCCUACUUCCGGGGAUCCUAUUCAUAUACACAGGUGGGCUCGAGUGGGGCAGAUGUGGAGAAGCUGGCCAAGCCCCUGCCAUACACGGAGAGCUCCAAGACAGCGGGUUGACCCACCAGAUAUCCCUCAUGGAGUUUAUGUCAGGGAUUCAUGUUCACCUGAUGAAUAACUUGAAAAACUGCACCAUGGUCUCCUGCUUCACGGACAAAAUAGAAGCCACCUGGAGGCAACUUCCUCGACAAAUCUACAAACUGCUAGCCUUCACACCUGUCCUUUUAGACCAGGGGUCCCCAACCCCUGGGCCAAGGACCGGUACCGGUCUGUGGCCUGUUAGGAACCGGGCUGCACAGCUGGAGGUGAGUGGCAGGUGAGUGAGUGAAGCUUCAUUUGCCGCUCCCCAUUGUUUGCAUUACCGCCUGAACCAUCCCCCCUGCUCCCCCAGUCUGUGGAAAAAUUGUCUUCCACGAAACCGGUCCGUGGUGCCAAAAAUGUUGGGGACUGCUGUUUUAGACCUUUCCCAGGCACAAUGGAAGUGUGUGACCCAUCACUUGUGCAUCCCAUGCCCCAAACUCAGGGACUUUGCUUGUCCUUUCCUAUCCCCAUUCUGUCCACUCCAUGCUUGCCACCCACCUUUCAGUGUCUUCACAUCUUUCCCAUCACCAACCCUCAUCUUACUCCCACUUUUCCUUGCCUCUCUUUCAGCCAAGCAUCACGUUAGCAUUUCCUACACUUGCUCUCUCUGCAUUCUUACUAUCCUCACCCUAGCAGUGGUUGGUGGGGGUCCUCAGGCCGCAGAGGGAGACACAGGAAGGACUGGGCUGGCUCUCCUUUCCAUGGCUGGGAGAGGUGAGGAGGACCUCUAGGUCUGUGGAAGGACAACCUCAUGGGCUGAACCACAUCCUUUAGCGCCAUCUGUUGGCCAUUUUGGAAUGCAACCCUCUUGCUGCACAGGGAACAUUUGUGUCCUGGAUUCUGUGAGCUUUCCUGAAUAAAAAAAAAAAAUUCGAUAAAUCAUAGAAAGUACCUUUAAUUAAUGCUGAAUAAGUUAAUAAAGUAAGAUUGUAACUUAUUCUAGAGCACCGUUUAUUUUUCAUUCUUAACCUUUUGUAAAAAGUGGCCUUGUUGGCCCCCAAGAUAUUUUCUUUUUUAUUCAUUCAUUCAUUCGUUCAUUCAUUAUUUUGUUUAUCCAGCAGACUUUUGUGUGCCAGCUUCUGUGCUAGAAAGGUUUAAUUAUGCUUCAGUAAAUAAGUUUAUUAAGUAAAUAAAUAAGUAUGAACUUAUUCCCCAAGUGAAUCUGGACUGUAUGAUUUCAAUUCUUUUAAGUUUGUUGAGGUUUUUUUUAUGGCCCAGGAUAUGGUCUAUCUUGGUAUAUGAUCUAUGGUGCUUGCAAAGGAUGUGCAGUGUGCUGUUGUUGGGUGGAAUGUUCUGUAGAUGUUGAUCAGAUCCUGCUGGCUGACAGUGUUGUUGAUUUCCUCUAUAUCCUUGCUGAUUUUCUGUCUAGUUCUUUUGAUUGUUGAGAGAAUAGUUGAAGUGUCCAAUUAUAAUUGUGUAUUUCUUUAUUCUUUCAACUCUAUCAGUUUUUUUGUAUUAAUAGACUUUUUUAAGAACAGUUUUAGAUGUACAGAAAAAGUGAGUAUAUAGACCCCACCUCCAUUUUCCCUAUUAUUAACAUUUUACAGGACUUCCCUGGUUGUCCAGUGGCUAAGACUCCACGCUCCCAAUGCAGGGGUCCCGGGUUCGAUCCCUGGUCAGGGAACUAGAUCCCACAUACUGCAACUAAGAGUUUGCAUGCUGCAACUAAAGACCCCGCAUGCCACACUAAAGACCCUGCGUGCCACAACUAAAGACCCUGCAUAUCGCAACUAAAGAUUCUGCAUGCCACAACUAAAAGAUCCCGCAUGCCGCAACUAAAAAAGAUCUCGCAUGCUGCAACUAAAAGAUCCUGCAUGCUGCAAUGAAGAUCCCAUGUGCUGCAACUAGGACCUGCGCAGCCAAAUAAAUAAAUAAAUAAAAAGAUAAAAUAUUAAAAAAAAAUCCAGCUACAGAAAAAAAUCUUACAUUAAUAUGGUGCAUUUGUUAUAAUCAAUGAACCAAUAUUGGUAUAUUAUUACUAAAUAAAGUCCAUAGGUUAAAUGAAUAAACUAAUGUCUUUUUCUGUUCCAGAAUUCCAUCCAGGAUGCCACAUUACAUUUAGCCAUCAUGUUUCGUUAAGUUCCUCUUCGUUGUGAUGUUUUCUCAGACUCUCCUUGUCUUUGAUGAUCUUAACAGUUUUGAGGAGUAUAGUCAGGUAUAUUGUAGGAUGGACCUCUAUUAGAAUUUUUCUGAUGUUUUUCUCAUGACUAGACUGGGGUUAUAGGUUUCUGGAGGAAAACCACAGAUUAAAGUGCCAUUUUCAUCUCAUCAUAUGACCUUGAUCACUUUGCUGAGAUAGACUUUGUCAGGUUUCUAUACUGUAAAGUUGUCUCCACCCCCCCCACCGCCAACCUCCCACCCCCCGCCAUCGUACUGUCCUCUUUGGAAGGAAGUCGCUUUGCAGCCCACACUUAAGGAGUUAUGCUCCCCUCCUUUAGAGUAGAGUAUCUACAUAAUUUAUUUGGAAUUCUUCUACGUAUGAAAAUUGUCCCUUCUCUUCCCUUACCUCUCUCUAUUUAUUAACUUAUUCAAUCAUUUAUUUAUAUCAGAAUGGACUCAUGGAUAUUUAUUUUAUACUUUGGAUUAUAAUCUAAUACUACUUUAUACUGUUGUUAAAUUGUUCCCACUUUGGUCGCUGGGAGCUCUUUCAUUUGGCUCCUAUGUCCCUUUGACAUGCCCCCAUCAAUGUGUGGGUUUUUUUUCUUUUUUGGGCACUUCCUUACUUUCUGGCACUAUAAGAUUCUCCAGGCUUAUCUUGUAUAUUUCCUGCUUCUGUCAUUGAAACAGCCAUUUCUCCAGGGAACCCUGAUUCCUUUUAAUAGAGCUUGUUCUAGCUCAGGGCAAAAGCUAGAUUGGUGUUGCCACUUGUGGUUGUUAAUGGCAAAAGUGACCUCAGUUCUUCAUUUCUCCCUGCUUUGCUGUGUGAUCUUGCAUCUCCUCCCACUAAAGAGGUUGUUAUUGGCUGAAUUAUGUCCCCUCAAAUUCAUGUGUUGAAGUCCUAACCCAGCUCCCUAUAAUGGAUUAAAGAUUAUUCAGCAAAUCUUCAAUCGCUUUCCUCUUCCUCUGGGAGCAGAAUAUAUUUUCCUGCCCCAUUGACUUUGGGCUUGGCCAUCUGACUUGUUUUGGCCAACAGAAAAUGAACAGACAUGAUGUGGUAUGAGCAGAAGCUUCCAGCAUGCUUGCACAGUUGGUUUUGGCCUCUCGUUUACUUGCCAUUUGUCAUAAGAAGAACAGGUCCCUGAUAGCUGAUGUUUCAAGGAGAAUAUGGAGAAAGGGGAAUAGAUGUGAGCCUACAGAAGCCUGGAACCAAACCUACCGCCUGCAGACAGACACAUAAACAAGAAAAACAAAUGCUUGCUCUUAUAACCUGUGAAUUUAAGGGUGGCUUGUUUUGCAGCAUUAUCAUGGCAAUAGUUGACUGUUACACCUCACUAUGGGGGAGUCAUCUAGCCCAAGAGGGAUAUUUCUAGGCACUAGUGAUAGAGUGAGCAAUGGCCCAUAGACUGGGAAGCCACCCACGGUACAGGGUGGUACAGUUCCAGCAAAGGGGCCUGGCAGGAAUGGGCCAAGGGAUUCAGAUUCCUGGAGGGUUCAUUUCAUGGCUUGACUCUGGCUUAAGGAGGUGGGAUAGAAGCCAGUGGCAUUUUUUUAGUUCCAUUGUACCAGACUGAGGAAAGAUCUUCUAACUGCCACUGCCCAGUUCUCAGCUCAUGAGGAAGAACUUUGUUCUAAAAAUUCAGAGUUGCUGCUACUCCUCUUCCACCAAAUGGAGCACCUGAGAAACUACAAUGUUUCCCUCUGCUCUCAAGGUCCCUUCUGACCCAGACCCACAAGCUUGGACAGUAUUAAAGUCUUUGCUGAAGGUAGAGAGUUCCUGCAGGGAAUCAAGAGGAUGGGUGAUCAUUACUGUGUUCUCGGCUGCUCAGAAAACAAUUCUUGGCAGUAGGACAGUCCUCGCUAAUCUGAUCAUACCAGGUCUCCUCCUAAGUUAGGACUUUGCACCUGCUGUUCCCUCUGCCUGGAAUGCUUUCCCCCAGCAAUCUGCAUGGUUUACAUCAUUACCAUCUUCAGGCCUUUUCUCACACAUCACCUUCUACCUGAGACCUUCCCUAGGUACUCAAACUGAAAGUGCCACAUCCUGUAGCCUCAACACUUCCUGUUCCCUUUCCCUGUUAUAUUUCUUUUGCUUAUCACCAUUUACUAUAUGUUUUGUUGUUAUUACCUAUCACUCCUGUCUCUCCUGAAAUGAGAACUCCAUGGAGACUGACUUUUUUUUUUUAAAUGGAUGUAUCCCCAUUGACUGGGCACAUAGUAGGUGGUCAGUAAAUAUUAUAAAAUGCAUGCAUUGUUUAUUGACCAUCACCUGGCCAUUUGUUAUUGGUUGAGAGGCAUCAGAGGGCACCUGGGCCCAUCUGAGCAGGUGCAUUUCCCACCUGGGGUUGGAGGAAUACCAAAUGCCUAAUCUGUAAGAGGCCCAGGCAUUUGGCACUUGUAGGCUUGUCUACUAGGGUGACUAUUCCCUAAGAGCUUGGACAUAAAAGCUCUCAAGACUGGCUUCUGAGGGUUCCACUCUGAAAUUGGACACAUGAUAAAUGAGAUUAGAGACAAGUAAAGCAAACUUAAAGGUACAGAGUGAGACAAAAGGCUGGGAUUGAAGCAUGAGAUGGGAGGAUGGAGAGGGAUAUAUGAUGGAAACAGAGGCACAAUGCACUGGGAGAUGGAACCCUGGCCUGGGGACCGAUCUCCAUGCCUGGUGCACUAAAUAAGUGACUCUUCCCUUUAACUUCCUGGCUUGGCCUCUGAACUCACUAGUGGCUUUCAGACCACAGUUUGGCUUCCCAUCAGGUUCAUUUAUCAUCAUGAGGACAUUGGCUUGUGUGAUAGUUAAAUUAUAGUUCCCAUUAAAAAUGAGCACAUUGGCUUUGAGCUUAUGAUCUUCAUGUCCUAGUGAGUUAGGCCAUCUGUGUCAGCUUAUAUGAGACUGUGGAACACUUUGGAACACUGACCAGACCCAUUUUCUAGAACUGUAAUACUGAGGACCUGUCCCUUGGCUGGGGGCAAGUUCAUUGAGCAAAUAAUACCUCAUUGAGCCUUUUGGGGCACAGACAGCCAGAUAUUUUGUUGUGUCCCCUUUUACUUUUUAUUAGUCUCUUUCAAAAUCCCACACAUUUGGUCAGUUAGGGAAAAUGUCCUUGAGGUAGAGGGCUUCCAAAAAAAAACCCCUUGUGUUAUGUUUGUGGUGAGAGGGGGAACUCUUAGCUUAUGCUGUUUCAGAUUAGAUAACUGACACAGGCUUGCAGUGUGGUGACUCGCCUUUGUGACAGACACUGAAAGCUGCCUGCCUGAUAUCCAUUGCUUCCUCCUGCUGCCAGAAUCGUGAUUUUGUUCAGAACAGCAGUGUUUCCAACAGGAGGCAAUGAUCCACGUUGCCCUAAAGCAGGGUCAACAAACUUUUCGACAAAUUUUUUUUUUUUUUAAUUUAGGCUUUGUGGGCCAAGACAUAACUUUCAUACAAUACACCUGUCAUGAAAUAUUCUCUUGACUUUUUUUUUCUCCAACCAUUUAAAAAUGUAAAACCCAUUCUUAGUUCAUAGGCUGUACAAAGUCAGGUGGUGGGCUAAAUUUGGCCCACUUUGCAGACCUCUGCUCUAAACCAGUCACUCCAUCUUGUUUUUUAUUUUACCAGUCUCCCUUGCAGGGUGGGCAUGGCACCCACUUCUGGCCCUUAAGGCCUAAGUGGAGGUGUGCUGGGGAAGGGUGGUUUGGGGCAAACUUUAUUAUCUUGAUAAAAGGAGGCAGAUUCCAUAGCCCAGACCCUUCUCCUUUUUUCUCCUCCUUGAAUAUGCAUGUGAGUUAUGGUGCCAUUGGUCAUGGUGAAGCAACAAGGAGGAUAAAAACCGACACACCGAAGACUAUGAAGCAAAGACAGAGCUUGUGUGUGUGACUUACACUGCCAGAAACUACCUACCUCAUAAAUUGUCAGGACAGAAAAAGGUGGAUGCAAACAGCAUGAUGGAGUCACAUGAAUGGCGAACUCCUGGAAGGAAUGGCCACAAAUGUCAUGGCUAUUUUAAUAUUGAAGAUGGAAGAAAAAAAGCAUCAUUUACAGUGUAUUAUGCUUUAUUAUUUCAAGAAAGGUAAAAAUGCAACUGAAAUGCAAAAAAAGAUUUGUGCAGUGUAUGGAAAAGGUACUGUGACUGAUCGAACGUGUCAAAAGUGGUUUGUGAAGUUUCAUGCUGGAGAUUUCUUGCUGGACGAUGCUCCAUGGUCAGGUAGACCAGUUGAAGCUGACAGGGAUCAAAUUGAGACAUUAACUGAGAACCAUCAACAUUAUACCACGCGGGAGAUAGCUGACAUACUCAAAAUAUCCAAAUCAAGUGUUGAAAAUCAUUUGCACAAGCUUGGUUAUGUGAAUCACUUUGAUGUUUGGGUUCCACAGAAAUUAAGCGAAAAAACCUUCUUGACUGUAUUUCCACAUGCGAUUCUCUACUUAAACAUAACGAAAAGUUUCCGUUUUUAAAACAAAUUGUGACGGGCGAUGAAAAGUGGAUACUGUACGAUAAUGUGGAAAGGAUGAGAUGGUGGGGCAAGCGAAAUGAACCACCACCAACCACACCAAAGGCCGGUCUUCAUCCAAAGAUGAUGUUGUGUAUAUGGUGGAAUUGGAAGGGAGUCCUCUCUUAUGAGCUCCUUCUGGAAAACGAAGCGAUUAAUUCCAACAAGUACUGCUCCCAAUUAGACCAACUGAAAGCAGCACUCAACAAAAACCGUCUGGAAUUAGUCAACAGAAAAUGCAUAAUCUUCCAUCAGGAUAACACAAGACCGCACGUUUCUUUGAUGACCAGGCAAAAACUGUUACAGCUUGGGUGGGAAGUUCUGAUCCAUCGACUGUAUUCACCAGACAUUGCACCUUUGGAUUUCCAUUUUUUUCAGUCUUUACAAAAUUCUCUUAAUGGAAAAAAUGUCAAUUCCCUGGAAGACUGUAAAAGGAACAGUUCUUUGCUCAAAAAGCUAAAAAGUUUUGGGAAGAUGGAAUUAUGAAGUUGUCUGAAAAAUUUCAGAAGGUAGUGGAACAAAACAGUGAAUAUGUUGUUCAAUAAAGUUCUGGCUGAAAAUAAAGAAUGUGUCUUUUAUUUUUACUUUAAAACCGAAGGAACUUUUUGGCCAACCCAAUAGAACUAGAUCAUGUCACUCCUCAAGCUCAAAACCCUCUAAGGGCUGCCAUUCCCCCUCACAGCUUGACAUGUGGUCCCCUGACCCCCUGACAUCCUCUCCUACUCCCCCCCACUCUGUUCCAGCCACACUACCCUCCUUUUGCUUCUUGGACAUGCCAGGCACACUCCCACCUUGGGCCUUUGCAUUUGCUUUUCCCCAGAAUCUUCUUCCUC